RNAcentral lists this ribosomal RNA (426 nucleotides) under uncultured Rhodocyclaceae bacterium. RNAcentral's name for it is "bacterial SSU rRNA". It matches the Rfam family "Bacterial small subunit ribosomal RNA", at positions 356 to 774 of the family's 1533-position model. Lineage: Bacteria; Pseudomonadati; Pseudomonadota; Betaproteobacteria; Rhodocyclales; Rhodocyclaceae. The record is from RNAcentral.
GGGGAAUUUUGGACAAUGGGCGCAAGCCUGAUCCAGCCAUGCCGCGUGAGUGAAGAAGGCCUUCGGGUUGUAAAGCUCUUUCGGCUGGGAAGAAAUCGCACUCUCUAAUACGGGGUGUGGAUGACGGUACCAGCAUAAGAAGCACCGGCUAACUACGUGCCAGCAGCCGCGGUAAUACGUAGGGUGCGAGCGUUAUUCGGAAUUACUGGGCGUAAAGCGUGCGCAGGCGGUUGUGUAAGACAGACGUGAAAUCCCCGGGCUCAACCUGGGAACUGCGUUUGUGACUGCACGGCUAGAGUACGGCAGAGGGGGGUGGAAUUCCACGUGUAGCAGUGAAAUGCGUAGAGAUGUGGAGGAACACCGAUGGCGAAGGCAGCCCCCUGGGCCAGUACUGACGCUCAUGCACGAAAGCGUGGGGAGCAAACA